Molecule: ribosomal RNA, 1028 nt
Filed under: Pseudodactylaria longidenticulata
Lineage: Eukaryota; Fungi; Ascomycota; Sordariomycetes
Description: SSU rRNA
Rfam family: Eukaryotic small subunit ribosomal RNA
Source: RNAcentral
AUUAUACAGCGAAACUGCGAAUGGCUCAUUAAAUCAGUUAUCGUUUAUUUGAUAGUACCUUACUACAUGGAUAACCGUGGUAAUUCUAGAGCUAAUACAUGCUAAAAAUCCCGACUUCGGAAGGGAUGUAUUUAUUAGAUUAAAAACCAAUGCCCUUCGGGGCUCUCUGGUGAUUCAUAAUAACUUCUCGAAUCGCAUGGCCUUGCGCCGGCGAUGGUUCAUUCAAAUUUCUGCCCUAUCAACUUUCGACGGCUGGGUCUUGGCCAGCCAUGGUGACAACGGGUAACGGAGGGUUAGGGCUCGACCCCGGAGAAGGAGCCUGAGAAACGGCUACUACAUCCAAGGAAGGCAGCAGGCGCGCAAAUUACCCAAUCCCGACUCGGGGAGGUAGUGACAAUAAAUACUGAUACAGGGCUCUUUUGGGUCUUGUAAUUGGAAUGAGUACAAUUUAAAUCCCUUAACGAGGAACAAUUGGAGGGCAAGUCUGGUGCCAGCAGCCGCGGUAAUUCCAGCUCCAAUAGCGUAUAUUAAAGUUGUUGAGGUUAAAAAGCUCGUAGUUGAACCUUGGGCCUGGCUGGCCGGUCCGCCUCACCGCGUGCACUGGUCCGGCCGGGCCUUUCCCUCUGGGGAGCCGCAUGCCCUUUACUGGGUGUGUCGGGGAACCAGGACUUUUACUCUGAACAAAUUAGAUCGCUUAAAGAAGGCCUAUGCUCGAAUACAUUAGCAUGGAAUAAUAGAAUAGGACGUGUGGUUCUAUUUUGUUGGUUUCUAGGACCGCCGUAAUGAUUAAUAGGGACAGUCGGGGGCAUCAGUAUUCAAUUGUCAGAGGUGAAAUUCUUGGAUUUAUUGAAGACUAACUACUGCGAAAGCAUUUGCCAAGGAUGUUUUCAUUAAUCAGGAACGAAAGUUAGGGGAUCGAAGACGAUCAGAUACCGUCGUAGUCUUAACCAUAAACUAUGCCGAUUAGGGAUCGGACGAUGUUAUUUUUUGACUCGUUCGGCACCUUACGAUAAAUCAAAAUGUUUGGG